RNAcentral lists this ribosomal RNA (478 nucleotides) under beta proteobacterium wo37. RNAcentral's name for it is "bacterial SSU rRNA". It matches the Rfam family "Bacterial small subunit ribosomal RNA", at positions 370 to 841 of the family's 1533-position model. The record is from RNAcentral. Lineage: Bacteria; Pseudomonadati; Pseudomonadota; Betaproteobacteria.
AAUGGGGGAAACCCUGAUCCAGCCAUUCCGCGUGUGCGAUGAAGGCCUUCGGGUUGUAAAGCACUUUUGGCAGGAAAGAAAUCGCACAAAUUAAUACUUUGUGUGGAUGACGGUACCUGCAGAAUAAGCACCGGCUAACUACGUGCCAGCAGCCGCGGUAAUACGUAGGGUGCAAGCGUUAAUCGGAAUUACUGGGCGUAAAGCGUGCGCAGGCGGUUCGGAAAGAGAGGUGUGAAAUCCCAGGGCUUAACCUUGGAACUGCACUUUUAACUCCCGAGCUAGAGUAUGUCAGAGGGGGGUGGAAUUCCGCGUGUAGCAGUGAAAUGCGUAGAUAUGCGGAGGAACACCGAUGGCGAAGGCAGCCCCCUGGGAUAAUACUGACGCUCAUGCACGAAAGCGUGGGGAGCAAACAGGAUUAGAUACCCUGGUAGUCCACGCCCUAAACGAUGUCAACUAGCUGUUGGGGGCUUCGGCCCUU